AACGAACGCUGGCGGCAUGCCUAACACAUGCAAGUCGAACGAAGCCUUCGGGCUUAGUGGCGCACGGGUGCGUAACGCGUGGGAAUCUGCCCUUUGGUUCAGAAUAACAGUUGGAAACGACUGCUAAUACCGGAUGAUGACGAAAGUCCAAAGAUUUAUCGCCAGAGGAUGAGCCCGCGUAGGAUUAGCUAGUUGGUGGGGUAAAGGCGCACCAAGGCGACGAUCCUUAGCUGGUCUGAGAGGAUGAUCAGCCACACUGGGACUGAGACACGGCCCAGACUCCUACGGGAGGCAGCAGUGGGGAAGAUUGGACAAUGGGCGAAAGCCUGAUCCAGCAAUGCCGCGUGAGUGAUGAAGGCCCUAGGGUUGUAAAGCUCUUUUACCCGGGAUGAUAAUGACAGUACCGGGAGAAUAAGCCCCGGCUAACUCCGUGCCAGCCGCCGCCGUAA
This 449-nucleotide ribosomal RNA is filed under the name uncultured bacterium. RNAcentral describes it as "partial 16S ribosomal RNA". It matches the Rfam family "Bacterial small subunit ribosomal RNA", at positions 29 to 523 of the family's 1533-position model. The record is from RNAcentral.